UUUUUGGAGACUUUGAUCCCGCUCAGGAUGAGCGCUGCGGCGCCUAUACAUGCAAGUCGAGCGAAUUGGAUUAAGUAGCUUGCUCUUUUUAUGAAUGUUAGCGGCGACGGGUGAGUAACCGUGGGUUUAACCUGCCCAUAGAGUGGGAUACUCCGGGAAACCGGGGCUAAGUACCGAUACAUUUUGAUACUGCAUGGUUCGAAUGAAAGGCGGCUGUCGGGCUGUCACUUAUGGAUGGACCCGCGUCGCAUUAGCUAGUUGGUGAGGUAACGGCUCACAAGGCAACGAUGCGUAGCCCGACCUGAGAGGGUGAUCGGCACCCCCACCCACCCCAUCACCCCACCACUACUGGGAUGAGAAGGCCCCAGAACUCUACGGGAGCAGCAGUAGGGAACUUUGCGAAGUGGACGAAGUCUACGGAUCUAACGCACCCGCUGAGUGAUGAAGGCUUUCGGGUCGUAAAACUCUGUGUUAGUGGAAGAAAAGGCUGAGGUUGAACUAAGCUGGCCGCUUGGACGGUACUAACCAGUAAGCCAUCGGCUACUACGUGCCAGCAGCCGCGGUAAAUACGUAGGUGGCAAGCGUUAUCCAGAAUUAUGGCGUCAAAGCGCGCGCAGGUGGGUUUCUUAAGUCUGAUGUGAAAGCCCCCGGCUCAACCGUGGAGGUCAUGGAACUGGGAACUGAGUGGCAGAAGAGGAAAGUGAAUUCAUGUUAGCGGUGAAAUGCGGUAGAGAUAUGGAGGAACAGACCAGUGGCGAAGCGACUUUCUGUCUGUAACUGGACACUUGAGCGCGCGAAAGCGUGGGGAGCAAACGAGGAUGUAGAUACCCUGGUAGUUCCACGCCGUAAACGAUGAGUGCUAAGUGUUAGAGGGUUUCCGCCCUUUGAGUGCUGAAGUUAACGCAUUUAGCACUCCCGCCUGGGGAGUAAUCCGGCCGACAGGCUGAGAACUUCAAAGAAUUGACGGGGGGCCCGCAGCAAGGUGAGCAUGUGUUCUAAUUCGAUAGCAAACGCGAGAAGCACCUUACCAGGUUUGGACAUCCUCGUGAAAACCCUAGAGAUGGCUUCUCCUCCGGAGCAGAGUGACAGGGUGCAUGGUUGUCCCAGCUCGUGUCGUGAGUGUGGGUUAAGUCCCGCAACGGAGCGCAAUGCCCUGUUGUCUUAGUUGCCAUCAUUAAGUUGGGCACUUCUAAGGUGACGUGCCGUGACAAACCGGAGGAAUGGGGGAGACGUCAAGAAUCAUCAUCCCUUAUGACCUGGCUACUACACUCGUGCUACGCUACAAGGACUGGUCCAAAGGAAGCUGGCAAGACCGCGAGUGGAAGCUAAUCUCAUAAAACGUUCUCCACGUUCGGUGUAGCUGCACUCGCUACAUCGAAGCUGGAAGCUAGUAAUCGCGGAUCAGCAUGGCGCGGUGAAUACGUUCCGGGCCCUUGGUAACACCGCCCUGUCACACCAACGAGAUUUGUACACCGGAAGUCGGUGGGGUAACCUUUUUGGAGGCCAGCCGUCCUAAGUGGACAAGAUGAUUGGGGUGAAGUCGUACACGGUAGCCGUCUCGGUAAGGUGCGGGC
RNAcentral lists this ribosomal RNA (1574 nucleotides) under Bacillus sp. UFRGS-B20. RNAcentral's name for it is "bacterial SSU rRNA". It matches the Rfam family "Bacterial small subunit ribosomal RNA". Lineage: Bacteria; Bacillati; Bacillota; Bacilli; Caryophanales; Bacillaceae. The record is from RNAcentral.